GCCAAUCAGCAGCAGACCCUCCCUCCCAGACCUUCCCACCUCCUGGACAGCUCACUAAGAAUGAAGCUUAAAAAUGGAUGCUGUCCAGGAGGUGGGAGGGUCUGGGAGGGAGGGUCUGCUGGCUGGAAUGU
RNAcentral lists this microRNA precursor (131 nucleotides) under Pelobates cultripes (western spadefoot toad). Lineage: Eukaryota; Metazoa; Chordata; Amphibia; Anura; Pelobatidae. The record is from RNAcentral.